CAGUCGCCACGGUAAUACGAACCGUGCGAACGUUAUUCGGAAUUACUGGGCUUAAAGCGCGUGUAGGCGGGCCGCCACGUCGGUUGCUGAAAUCCCCCGGCUCAACCGGGGAAGUGGCAUCGAUACGAGCGGCCUUGAGGGGGGUAGGGGGAUCUGGAACUUCCGGUGGGGCGGUGAAAUGCGUUGAGAUCGGAAGGAACGCCCGUGGCGAAAGCGAGGUCCUGGGCCCUUUCUGACGCUGAGACGCGAAAGCCAGGGGAGCGAACGGGAUUAGAUACCCCCGUAGUCCCUGUCUCUUAUA
This 301-nucleotide ribosomal RNA is filed under the name uncultured bacterium. RNAcentral's name for it is "partial 16S ribosomal RNA". It matches the Rfam family "Bacterial small subunit ribosomal RNA", at positions 509 to 807 of the family's 1533-position model. The record is from RNAcentral.